This 349-nucleotide ribosomal RNA is filed under the name Phomopsis sp. 63B. Its description in RNAcentral is "eukaryotic LSU rRNA". The stretch from base 1 to 128 matches the Rfam family "5.8S ribosomal RNA", at positions 28 to 154 of the family's 154-position model. Lineage: Eukaryota; Fungi; Ascomycota; Sordariomycetes; Diaporthales; Diaporthaceae. The record is from RNAcentral.
UUGCAUCGAUGAAAAGACGCAGCGAAAUGCGAUAAGUAAUGUGAAUUGCAGAAUUCAGUGAAUCAUCGAAUCUUUGAACGCACAUUGCGCCCUCUGGUAUUCCGGAGGGCAUGCCUGUUCGAGCGUCAUUUCAACCCUCAAGCCUGGCUUGGUGAUGGGGCACUGCCUGUAAAAGGGCAGGCCCUGAAAUUCAGUGGCGAGCUCGCCAGGACCCCGAGCGCAGUAGUUAAACCCUCGCUCUGGAAGGCCCUGGCGGUGCCCUGCCGUUAAACCCCCAACUUCUGAAAAUUUGACCUCGGAUCAGGUAGGAAUACCCGCUGAACUUAAGCAUAUCAAUAAGNGGAGGAAA